CCUACGGGUGGCUGCAGUGAGGAAUAUUGGUCAAUGGCCGAGAGGCUGAACCAGCCAAGUCGCGUGAGGGAAGACGGCCCUACGGGUUGUAAACCUCUUUUGUCGGGGAGCAAAGCGAGUCACGUGUGACUCAUUGAGAGUACCCGAAGAAAAAGCAUCGGCUAACUCCGUGCCAGCAGCCGCGGUAAUACGGAGGAUGCGAGCGUUAUCCGGAUUUAUUGGGUUUAAGGGGUGCGUAGGCGGGUUAUCAAGUCUGCGGUAAAAUCGUGGAGCUCAACUCCAUCCAGCCGUUGAAACUGAUGAUCUUGAGAGGGCGAGAGGUAUGCGGAAUGCGUGGUGUAGCGGUGAAAUGCAUAGAUAUCACGAAGAACUCCGAUUGCGAAGGCAGCAUACCGGCGCCCGACUGACGCUGAAGCACGAAAGCGUGGGUAUCGAACAGGAUUAGAUACCCGAGUAGUC
RNAcentral lists this ribosomal RNA (459 nucleotides) under uncultured bacterium. RNAcentral's name for it is "partial 16S ribosomal RNA". It matches the Rfam family "Bacterial small subunit ribosomal RNA", at positions 338 to 795 of the family's 1533-position model. The record is from RNAcentral.